AAUUUAGUGGUGUAUAUAACAUUAUAAAUUGUAAAUUUAUAGAAGCUCAGACCUAAAUUA
This 60-nucleotide transfer RNA is filed under the name Metacrangonyx dominicanus. RNAcentral describes it as "transfer RNA Tyrosine". Lineage: Eukaryota; Metazoa; Arthropoda; Malacostraca; Amphipoda; Metacrangonyctidae. The record is from RNAcentral.